Molecule: ribosomal RNA, 468 nt
Filed under: uncultured bacterium
Lineage: Bacteria
Description: partial 16S ribosomal RNA
Rfam family: Bacterial small subunit ribosomal RNA
Source: RNAcentral
GACGAACGCUGGCGGCGUGCUUAACACAUGCAAGUCGAACGGAAAGGCCCUGCUUUUGUGGGGUGCUCGAGUGGCGAACGGGUGAGUAACACGUGAGUAACCUGCCCUUGACUUUGGGAUAACUUCAGGAAACUGGGGCUAAUACCGGAUAGGAGCUCCUGCUGCAUGGUGGGGGUUGGAAAGUUUCGGCGGUUGGGGCUGGACUCGCGGCUUAUCAGCUUGUUGGUGGGGUAGUGGCUUACCAAGGCUUUGACGGGUAGCCGGACUGGGAGUGUGACCGGGCACAAGAGGACUAAGGUACGGACCAGAAGCGAACGUGAGGCAACAGUGGGAAGUAUGACAGAAUAAGCAGGAGCCAGAUACAAAGGCGCUGCGAGCGGGAUGACGGGCUUCGAGGUGUGAACAGCUGUGGACUGUGACGAGGCGAGAGUGACGGUAAUGAGUAAAAAAGCACCGGCUAACUACGUG